UCCGGUUGAUCCUGCCGGACCCCACUGCUAUCGGGAUAGGACUAAGACAUGCUAGUCAAGCGCUCGCCAGCCAAAGGCAAGUGCGGCGUACAGCUCAGUAACACGUGGCUAACCUGCCCUUGGGACAAGGACACCCCCGGGAAACUGGGGCUAAUCUUUGAUAGGUGAAGAACUCUGGAAUGAAUCUUCGCCCAAAAGAAGCUUACGCCAUGCUCGUAGGCUCCGCCCAAGGAUGGGGCCGCGACCGAUCAGGUAGUUGGUGAGGCAACGGCUCACCAAGCCUUUUACCGGUGCGGGCCGUGAGAGCGGGAGCCCGGAGAUGGGCACUGAGACAAGGGCCCAGGCCCUACGGGGCGCAGCAGUCGCGAAAACUUUGCAAUACACGAAAGUGUGACAGGGCUAUCCCGAGUGCCAUCCGCUGAGGAAGGCUUUUACCCAGUGUAGAAAGCUGGGGGAAUAAGGAGAGGGCAAGACUGGUGUCAGCCGCCGCGGUAACACC
Molecule: ribosomal RNA, 499 nt
Filed under: uncultured archaeon
Lineage: Archaea
Description: bacterial SSU rRNA
Rfam family: Archaeal small subunit ribosomal RNA
Source: RNAcentral